CAGUGAAAUAUUGAGCAGCUAUGCUGCUCAAUGUGAAAUAUUCGGCUUACGCCGAAUGUGAAAUAUCGGUCUGCGACCGAUGUGAAAUAUGAG
RNAcentral lists this unclassified non-coding RNA (93 nucleotides) under Aristaeella lactis. Its description in RNAcentral is "Gut-1 RNA". Lineage: Bacteria; Bacillati; Bacillota; Clostridia; Eubacteriales; Aristaeellaceae. The record is from RNAcentral.